CGUAGCUCCUUCGACGAGUCGAGUUGUUUGGGAAUGCAGCUCUAAAUGGGAGGUAAAUUUCUUCUAAAGCUAAAUACCGGCCAGAGACCGAUAGCGCACAAGUAGAGUGAUCGAAAGAUGAAAAGCACUUUGGAAAGAGAGUUAAAAAGCACGUGAAAUUGUUGAAAGGGAAGGGCAUGCAACCAGACUUGUCGGCGGUGUUCCGCCGGUCUUCUGACCGGUCUACUCGCCGCCGGCAGGCCAGCAUCACUUGGGCGCGCCGGAUAAAGGCGCGAGGAAUGUAGCCCCUCGGGGUGUUAUAGCCUCGCGUACAAUACGGCGCCGCCCGAGUGAGGUCCGCGCUUCGGCUAGGAUGCUGGCGUAAUGGUUGUUUGCCGCCCGUCUUGAAACACGGACCAAGGAGUCUAACAUCUAUGCGAGUGUUCGGGUGUCAAACCCCUACGCGGAAUGAAAGUGAACGGAGGUGGGAAGCGCAAGCUGCACCAUCGACCGAUCCUGAUGUCUUCGGAUGGAUUUGAGUAAGAGCAUAGCUGUUGGGACCCGAAAGAUGGUGAACUAUGCCUGAAUAGGGUGAAGCCAGAGGAAACUCUGGUGGAGGCUCGCAGCGGUUCUGACGUGCAAAUCGAUCGUCAAA
This 634-nucleotide ribosomal RNA is filed under the name Hortaea sp. RNAcentral's name for it is "partial large subunit ribosomal RNA". It matches the Rfam family "Eukaryotic large subunit ribosomal RNA", at positions 247 to 909 of the family's 3401-position model. The record is from RNAcentral. Lineage: Eukaryota; Fungi; Ascomycota; Dothideomycetes; Mycosphaerellales; Teratosphaeriaceae.